UCUCUGGUGGUCCAGCGGCUAAAACACCAUGCUCUUAAUGUGGGGGGCCUGGGUUCGAUCCCUGGUCAGGGAA
RNAcentral lists this transfer RNA (73 nucleotides) under Bos taurus (domestic cattle). It matches the Rfam family "tRNA". From Rfam's summary of the family: Transfer RNA (tRNA) molecules are approximately 80 nucleotides in length. Their secondary structure includes four short double-helical elements and three loops (D, anti-codon, and T loops). The record is from Rfam by way of RNAcentral. RNAcentral also lists the same sequence under 2 other names. Lineage: Eukaryota; Metazoa; Chordata; Mammalia; Artiodactyla; Bovidae.